RNAcentral lists this ribosomal RNA (443 nucleotides) under uncultured Bacteroidota bacterium. RNAcentral's name for it is "bacterial SSU rRNA". It matches the Rfam family "Bacterial small subunit ribosomal RNA", at positions 917 to 1359 of the family's 1533-position model. Lineage: Bacteria; Pseudomonadati; Bacteroidota. The record is from RNAcentral.
GGGCCCGCACAAGCGGAGGAACAUGUGGUUUAAUUCGAUGAUACGCGAGGAACCUUACCCGGGAUUGAAAUGAAGUCGAAUAAAGGUGAAAGCCUUUAGCCAGCAAUGGCGGCUUUGUAGGUGCUGCAUGGUUGUCGUCAGCUCGUGCCGUGAGGUGUCGGCUUAAGUGCCAUAACGAGCGCAACCCUGACUGUCAGUUGCUAACAGGUAAUGCUGAGGACUCUGGCGGGACUGCCGGCGUAAGCUGUGAGGAAGGUUGGGAUGACGUCAAAUCAGCACGGCCCUUACAUCCGGGGCGACACACGUGUUACAAUGGCAUGGACAGAGGGUUGCUACCUGGCGACAGGAUGCUAAAUCUCGAAACCGUGUCUCAGUUCGGAUCGGAGUCUGCAACCCGACUCCGUGAAGCUGGAUUCGCUAGUAAUCGCGCAUCAGCCAUGGCG